CGCGUAGGCGGCUCAUAAAGGCUGUGGUGAAAGUUCGGGGCUCAACCUCGAAUCGGCCGUGGCGACUUGUGGGCUGGAGCACUGUAGAGGCGGGUGGAAUUCCGGGUGUAGCGGUGGAAUGCGUAGAGAUCCGGAAGAACACCAGUGGCGGAGGCGGCCCGCUGGGCAGUGGCUGACGCUGAAGCGCGACAGCGUGGGGAGCAAACA
RNAcentral lists this ribosomal RNA (207 nucleotides) under uncultured bacterium. Its description in RNAcentral is "partial 16S ribosomal RNA". It matches the Rfam family "Bacterial small subunit ribosomal RNA", at positions 568 to 774 of the family's 1533-position model. The record is from RNAcentral.